Long non-coding RNA from Asparagus officinalis (garden asparagus), 621 nucleotides. RefSeq lists it as uncharacterized. NCBI's taxonomy places the organism in Eukaryota, Viridiplantae, Streptophyta, Magnoliopsida, Asparagales, Asparagaceae. The record is from RefSeq and is a predicted model, not a curated record. The transcript is spliced from 3 exons.
GAAGAAUGAAGAAAGAAAACUGCUGCUGGUUUGCAUAUUUCGUAUCAAAAGCACAGGUACAAUAAGUUUAUUCAUCCACAAGAAAACCAUAACAAUCAGUCUGGUUCUCAGAGCACCAAAGCUGUCAUCAUGCUUGUUGUGAUGCCCAGUUUGUCACCGGACUGAAGCAGUUACCUGCUGAUGGUUGUGCUAUAGGAACUGUUUCAGUCAGGGUUGAAUCUGGCACCACCGCUGAUACGCCCUGCGCCAUAAUGCGUGCCAAUGGCGAAGAAUCACCAGUCAACUGCGCACUUUGAAGAGCUCCAGAAUUGACUGUUGGCGGCCCAAGCUCUGCAGGCACAGUGUUAAUCUCCACCUUCAUCCCGCUGCUGCAAUGCCCUUCAACUCCACAGAUGAAGUAUCUCUUACCCGGUGUAGGAGGCUGGAACCUAGGCAGGAAUCUGCAGUCAUGGGCAUCAGCGCAACUCCAAAGGACCAAAGCCCAUAACCACCAAUUCCAACCCCCCAAUGGCGCCGUCGAGGUCCGCCGGAGACCGGAGGAGAUCACGGUCUUCGGCUCCGGCCAUGUUCAUGAUUUUGUAGUUCGGAGUUUCGGAGAGCCGCAGGGUGACGGAGUUCUGG